CCUACGGGACGCAGCAGUGGGGGAUAUUGCACAAUGGGGGGAACCCUGAUGCAGCGACGCCGCGUGGGUGAAGAAGCGCCUCGGCGCGUAAAGCCCUGUCAGCAGGGAAGAAAAUGACGGUACCUGAAGAAGAAGCCCUGGCUAACUACGUGCCAGCAGCCGCGGUAAUACGUAGGGAGCGAGCGUUAUCCGGAUUUAUUGGGUGUAAAGGGUGCGUAGGCGGCUUCUUAAGUCUGUAGUCUAAGCCCGGAGCUUAACUCCGGUUCGCUACAGAAACUGAUUAGCUUGAGUAUGGUAGAGGCAAG
This 305-nucleotide ribosomal RNA is filed under the name uncultured bacterium. RNAcentral describes it as "bacterial SSU rRNA". It matches the Rfam family "Bacterial small subunit ribosomal RNA", at positions 338 to 661 of the family's 1533-position model. The record is from RNAcentral.